AACGCUGGCGGAAUGCUUACACAUUCAAGUCGAACGGCAGCACGGGGGCAACCCUGGUGGCGAGUGGCGAACGGGUGAGUAACACAUCGGAACGUGCCCAGUCGUGGGGGAUAACGUAGCGAAAGCUACGCUAAUACCGCAUACGAUCUACGGAUGAAAGCGGGGGAUCGCAAGACCUCGCGCGAUUGGAGCGGCCGAUGGCAGAUUAGGUAGUUGGUGAGGUAAAGGCUCACCAAGCCGACGAUCUGUAGCUGGUCUGAGAGGACGACCAGCCACACUGGGACUGAGACACGGCCCAGACUCCUACGGGAGGCAGCAGUGGGGAAUUUUGGACAAUGGGCGCAAGCCUGAUCCAGCCAUUCCGCGUGCAGGAUGAAGGCCCUCGGGUUGUAAACUGCUUUUGUACGGAACGAAACGGCUCUCUCUAAUACAGGGGGCUAAUGACGGUACCGUAAGAAUAAGCACCGGCUAACUACGUGCCAGCAGCCGCGGUAAUACGUAGGGUGCAAGCGUUAAUCGGAAUUA
RNAcentral lists this ribosomal RNA (525 nucleotides) under uncultured bacterium. RNAcentral's name for it is "bacterial SSU rRNA". It matches the Rfam family "Bacterial small subunit ribosomal RNA", at positions 32 to 553 of the family's 1533-position model. The record is from RNAcentral.